GCAGUUCCCCAGAAGGAGAGACUUGUUUUCGGCUGUUAUUUAACGUGGCAGCAGGCUGAGACGCAGUGCAGUCGGUGGCUCACAGAAGGUUCGCUUCUCAGGAGACUUGCCCAUGGCGUGCGGAGCUUUUCAGAAUGAAACUGAUCGAGCUUACAGUGUUGUUAUGAAGAUGAAUUGAGUUAAUACAUGCGAACCCCUCCGAAUGAUGUCUGACACAGGUUCUCUGUGUUGACUAAACUCAGUUGGGCAGCUCUUCUCUCCACGUGGUGUCAGCUGGGGUCUCUUACUUGGCUGCAUUCAGCUGGGAGCAAGCCUGGGCCUGGUACUUUGAGAUAACCUCACUGGAAUGCCUGGGGCUCACUGGAAUGCCUGAGCUAGAAGGCUGGGAUCUCUUUUUUUCCAGGAAGUUUCCACGUCAUGAGCUGCCCUAUGAAGAGGCCAAUAUGACAAAAGACGAAGAAAGACCUCUGGACAACAGCCAGCAAGGAACCAAGGCCCUCAGUCCUCCCACUUAAGAGGAAGGGAAGCCUCCAACAAAUCCACGUGAGCUUGGAAGCUGGGCCAUCUGUUCAUCCUUUGGGUGAGACUUCAGUUCGAGUAGAUUGGGAGAGAGGCUUUGAGGCAGAAGCACCCAGAUUCCUGACCCACAGAACUGUGAGAUAAUAAAUAUUUGCUGUCAUAAGAUGCUAAGUUUUGAGAUAAUUUAUCACACAGCAGUAGAUAAUUAUUAUAGCACCCCAUAGAUCGGUAAACCACAAACUUUUGAUGGUGAACUCUUAAAAAUAAACAUUUCCAGCUUCAGAUAGUCUGAUUGAAUAGUUCUGGAAAAGGCUCAGAGGGCUUUUAUGCAUAUAGUCUCAAGACCUGAUGUUUGAAAAUUCUCUCCGGAAGUUACAAACAACCUUUUUUUUUCCCUUGUGGCAAGAGAGAUUUUAAUGGCCAGAAGGGAAUCCUUCAGGGCAAGCUAGGAUUGUUAGGCUUAAUCGUACAUUGCUCAAAAAGUGAGAUCUCUACGAAGCCCUUGGCUAGCAAAGAUUGUGAUCUACUUGUGUUUGUUUGAGGCUUAUUGCCUAGGGACAAAGGGCAAGGUAACUUCUUAUGGCUCCUAGACUUUCCCUUUAUAUUUUUUAACUUUUAUUUUAGGAUCUUGGGUGCAUGUGAAGGUUUGUUACAUAGGUAAACUCGUAUCAUGGGGGUUUGUUGUACAGGUUAUUUCAUCACCCAGUACCCAAUAGUUAUAUUGUCUGCUCCACUCUCUCCUCCCACCGUCCACCCUCAGACAGACCUCAGUGUUUGUUAUUCCCUUCUUGGUGUUCAUGAGUUCCUCUCAUUUAGCUCCCAUUUGUAAGUCAGAACAUGUGGUAUUUGGUUUUCUGUUCCUGUGUUAGUUGACUAAGGAUGAUAGCCUCCAGCUUCAUUCAUAUAACCACAAAAGAUAUAAUGUCACUCUUUUUUGUGGCUUCAUAGUGUUCCAUGGUGUAUAUGUACCACGUUUCCUUUGUUCAGUUUGUCAUUGGGCAUUUAGGUUGAUUCCAUGUCUUCAAUCAACCAGUUUUGUUUUAUUCAUGCCUAUAUAUUCAUGUCUGAAACAUGGUAGAUUAUCAAUAAAUAUAAUUGAAUGAAUUAAUGCAUACAGAUAUACAAUAUAAAAAAAUUUAAAUGGAUUUACCAAAACUUAGUUUUAAGCAUAACGUGGUUAAGAUAAUUAAUUUCUUCAUUAAUUAGUUAACCUGUUUUGUAAUUAUCACAUCUGUUUUUCUUACCUGUAGCUGUUUUAUGCAUUUAUACAUGCAAAUUUUCCCUCUUCUUAGAAACAAGGACUACAUCUAUUUUAUCCAUUUACUAUGACCCUAUGCCAGCUUGCAAAGUAACUUGGUGCAUAUUUAAUUCUCGACUAUAUUCAUUUCCCUUUUAUUUGUAUAAAAUAAUUGUAUAAUGACGUAUACUUUUUAAAAUUAGAUAACUCUAUUUUAACUUAUCAUGAGCUAUACGUACCUGGCCUUAAAUCCCAGAUUCUAUAAUUAAUAACUGUGGGCACUUUGGCAAAUUAUUUUAUUCUUUGAGUUUCUGUUUCUUUCUUUCAAAUUAUGACUUGUGUUCUUGGGAGAUUUGAAGGAACUAAUAUAUAGUAAGUCUUAUUGAGUGGUGGAUCCUGGAGUUCCCAUCAUCCUAACCAUUUUUAGUACAUUUUUUUUCUUAUUGCUCAUAUUGUGGGCCAGAUUUUGUGUCUCCUCCCCCCAUGCAUAUGUUGAAGCCCUAACCCCUAGCCCUUCAGAAUGUGACUGUAUUUGUACACAGGGCUUUUAAAGAGGUAAUUAAGUUAAAAUUAGGACAUUAGGGUGAAUUCAAUCUGAUUGGUGUCCUUUUAAGAAGAGAAAAUUUGGACACACAAAGAGAUGCCAGGGAUGCAUUUGCAGAGAGAAAAGACCACAGAAGAGACUAAGAGGAUAAGAUGAUCAUCUACAAGCUGAAAAGAUACUGAUCCUGCCAAUAACUUGGUCUUGAACUUCCAGCCUCCAGAAUGUGAGAAAAUAAAUGCCUGUUGUUUAAGCCACCCAGUCUGUG
Molecule: long non-coding RNA, 2565 nt
Organism: Callithrix jacchus (white-tufted-ear marmoset)
Lineage: Eukaryota; Metazoa; Chordata; Mammalia; Primates; Cebidae
Source: RefSeq, a predicted model, not a curated record